RNAcentral lists this ribosomal RNA (318 nucleotides) under uncultured bacterium. RNAcentral describes it as "bacterial SSU rRNA". It matches the Rfam family "Bacterial small subunit ribosomal RNA", at positions 29 to 351 of the family's 1533-position model. The record is from RNAcentral.
AAUAAACGCUGGCGGCGCGCCUAACACAUGCAAGUCGAGCGAGAAAGUUCCUUCGGGAAUGAGUACAGCGGCGGACGGUUGAGUAACACGUGAGAAUCUACCCUUUAGUGAAGGAUACCCUCGAGAAAUCGAGGUUAAUACUACAUAAGCCCCCUUGGGGGGAAAGGCGGCCUCUUUGCUGUCGCUAAAGGAUGAGCUUGCGGCCUAUCAGCUAGUUGGUGAGGUAAAGGCUCACCAAGGCAAUGACGGGUAGCCGGCCUGAGAGGGUGUUCGGCCAGAUUGGAACUGAGAUACGGUCCAGACUCCUACGGGAGGCAG